GUGCUUGCACUCAAUUGGAAAGAGGAGUGGCGGACGGGUGAGUAACACGUGGGUAACCUACCCAUCAGAGGGGGAUAACACUUGGAAACAGGUGCUAAUACCGCAUAACAGUUUAUGCCGCAUGGCAUAAGAGUGAAAGGCGCUUUCGGGUGUCGCUGAUGGAUGGACCCGCGGUGCAUUAGCUAGUUGGUGAGGUAACGGCUCACCAAGGCCACGAUGCAUAGCCGACCUGAGAGGGUGAUCGGCCACACUGGGACUGAGACACGGCCCAGACUCCUACGGGAGGCAGCAGUAGGGAAUCUUCGGCAAUGGACGAAAGUCUGACCGAGCAACGCCGCGUGAGUGAAGAAGGUUUUCGGAUCGUAAAACUCUGUUGUUAAAGAAAACAAGGACGUUAGUAACUGAACGUCCCCUGACGGGAUCUAACCAGAAAGCCACGGCUAACUACGUGCCAGCAGCCGCGGUAAUACGUAGGUGGCAAGCGUUGUCCGGAUUUUUGGGCGUAAAGCGAGCGCAGGCGGUUUCUUAAGUCUGAUGUGAAAGCCCCGGCUCAACCGGGGAGGGUCAUUGGAAACUGGGAGACUU
Molecule: ribosomal RNA, 585 nt
Filed under: Enterococcus sp.
Lineage: Bacteria; Bacillati; Bacillota; Bacilli; Lactobacillales; Enterococcaceae
Description: bacterial SSU rRNA
Rfam family: Bacterial small subunit ribosomal RNA
Source: RNAcentral